Molecule: non-coding RNA, 7340 nt
Organism: Phasianus colchicus (ring-necked pheasant)
Lineage: Eukaryota; Metazoa; Chordata; Aves; Galliformes; Phasianidae
Source: RefSeq, a predicted model, not a curated record
CUGUGAUUGCCUCAUGUGUCUCACCGAGGGAUGCCCGUGUGCUGCCAGAGAGCAAACCAGAUCCAUGCAGUGUGUGAGUGAAAGCCAGCAUCAGUUGAGCUUCUUCCUCUGUAAUGCCAGAGCUGAGCAUAGGACCUGGUCUGCUUUCCAAAAGAAGGAUAUAACAAAGUCAUGGCAAAGAAUAUGUAGUCUGGAAUGAUAAGAGUGCAACAUGUCCUGAGCGAUUAUCAUGGCACCACCUCAAUGAUGCAUCCAGGAUGUGCUACAGCUUAACUGAUGUCUGCCGUGUUCUCCACCUCCACUGUCCACUGCACCCCAGUAAGAGGAAGGGCUACAGUGCGUGUGACUGCAGGAGGAGCCCACAGGGCAUUCCCUGGGCAUGAGGACAGAAGAGCCUGUGACUCCAGAGAAGGAAGGCUGCAGCUGCAGCAGAAGUAGAAGCACAUGGGAAAAUGACUCACCUCCCAGGGGCUAGACAUGGAUUUUCAACCCAGCAAAGCACAGGAAAAAUGACAUGAAGGUGGAGUGUUAUGCUACUCGAGGAACAAAAUGUCAUGGCAAAUAACUGCUUCGAGUCUGGUCUAUUCUUUUACAGACUUGUAGGCUGUGAACAGGGUCCAAAGUACAAGCCUUUACUCUGGGAACCAUUGCCAAGGAGAUGAUUAUUCAUUAACGGUGGGUAAGGAAAAAUUGGCUUAGAAAAAUCUCACAUCUCUGGGGGGAGUCUCUGCGUUAAUUUUCUGUCAAACUCCUCUUGGUAUUCUGUGUAAGCAUUACUCCAAAUUAAUAAUGCAAAAUAACUAGAAAGUUGCAGAAACCCCAAGGAGAACAUUGCAUUUUUUUAGCCGAAAUGAGCUUAAUUAAUAUUGUUUGAUGCAUCCAUUUGUCCCCAAAAUCUGCUGAACUAUUUCUGGCACAGGUACCUGAAUAAUUACUUCACUAUGCACUUUAUAUAAAAAAUAUAAAGGACAUUUUAUCUCUCAAUUAGAAUUGGUGGAAUAGUAAUUGCAAAUAGGGUGUUUGAUUAAUUUUCACUAUCAUUACUGAGUAUGUUUCUUAUGAAUAAAUGCCUUCAUUAAUAAAUCAAUUUUAUAGAAUAUAAAUACAUUUUUGGGAGGUACUUCCACCACUCACUGAAGUAAUUGUUCUUGAAUACUUCUACUCCUUAAGCCAGCUGUAUUCUAUUAAGAAAGAUACGAACCAUAGUUCAGGGAAAGACUGUAUAUUUUUAAAGCCCGCAGGGAAAACUUCUCUCGUAUCAAAAUUUUUUCUAUAGAUAUAAUCUUUGACCUGGAAGCCCCGUGCUCUGAGCACAGUCUGUGAAGCAACAGGGCCCUGGGGACAACCACAUGUGUGUUUGAAGCCCAGCGCUGCAGGGAGGUGAGGGGUGCUGACACCAGGUUUUGAAUGGGCUGAGUGGUUUAAAGUCAGUGUUCUGAUCUGCAGGGCUGUAUUAAAGUGCCUUCAGGUGUUGCAGAACUUGAACACAUCCCUUUCUGAGGGGUAAUCCUGGGAACCUGGGCUAUGCAGAAACACAGAAGGGCUGGUGCUGUGGUUCUUGCCUUUCCCAGGGCUAAAUUUCAUCUUGCUCUUACAUUUGCAUUCAUGGUAGAACUGUACAGAUUAAUGACUGUUCAGCAAUAAGGAUUGAAAGCAAUGCCUCCUCAUAGCUCGAGUCUUGAAAGAAUGACUCAUUCUAGAAGGAGACUGACAGCAUCUGUCAAAGCACAGACACACAUUGUAGCCUUUUCCCACAGUUAAGCAGGUUCACAUUUGAACAUUUAGCAUGGCCUCUAAAUUUUUCACUUGCUUCUCAGAAAAAGGAUUCAAUCUAAUUUUGAUAUUUUUAUACAGCAGCAAUCCUCUUUUCAUUUCAAGAAUCUGCUCUUUUUAUUCCUGUGACUAAUUGUUCAUCGACUCCUUGUUGACAAAUGCCAGUUAGUGUGGUUGGUGGGAGGAAUUCAAGGAAACUAUGAAUUACGGCUUGUCUCUUGUUGGCUCUUCACUCUGCAGUCCAUCUGGUAGACAAAAUUCCUCAGUGUAGUGUGCCGAGGGAUGAGAAUGCCUUUGUCCUGGGCAGCACCACAACCACUUCAAGGCACACACAUGGCAUGUGGGGCUCCCUGCUCUGAGCCACUGCAGACACCACAGGAGAGAAGGGCUGAAGACCAUUUGUGGAACAAAAGCAUUUGCCUGCACUGUAAUCUGAAUUCAGCCUAAUUAGGUAACUUGGUUGGAGGUGACUGAAAAGAAGUAAUAGCGCUCCUAAAGAUACUAAGCCUCUUGCCCUGUACCAGGGUCAUACCCUUGAUUAUCAGGAAUGCAACAAGCUGAGCUUCAUCCCCAGGCAUGUUUCUGUAUCCUUUGCCUGUUUUCCCACUACUGGAAAAAACUUGCAAAGGCCUUCUAAUUGUUGUUACAAACACAACAGCAACAGCUCCCUUGUGCACUGGUAAAAUGUGUUGAUGCCACCUAUUUCAGUGGGAGUUUCUUGGAAUGAACCUUGCCCUCCAGUUUGUCUUCACAAAUCUAAUUGAUGGAAAAAGUCUGUUUGUGGACUGUUAUUUUUUUUUUUUAAGGAUGGUCAGGGUCUCUAAAGAAAUCUUCUUGUGCUGCCUUGCAAAAGCAGGACAGCAGUGCUGUGAGAAGGGACAUGAGCAGGAGCUCCUGUCACCCUGCAGCAAUGCCAUCUAAAGGGCACAAGGUCGUGUGGUUGUAGGAGGAAAACUAAAGGAAUUAAAAAUAAUAAAAAGGCUCAAACCACUCCUGUCUACUAAUGCCUGUCUUGGGAUCUCUAAUGGCUAUAUGGGGUGUUAGCUUCAUGGGCUUCCAACUUCGUACCACAAAAUUGAAGUAGAGGCCUUGCAGGCAUUUCAUGAGCUACUGACUCAAAUGAAAGUAUAUAAAAUUUUUUUUUUUUUUAAUCAUAAGGGUUUUUCUCUCAUAUGUUUCUCAUCCCCCAGGUACAAUAUAUUUAAUAUAAAACUAGACAACAACAUGCAGAAGUGCCCAAAGGUUGGUGCUGAAUGCUGUCCUGUGUUCUGGCAGAACUUAUGUCCCCCGACAUGUUCAGGUCAGGCUGGUACACUUGCACACGAUAUGCUCUGAAAAACUGUUGUGCUGUGCCUUUGGUGCAUGUAAUAACACUGUGUAUUUUUUACAUAAUUAUGUUCUGUGUAGUAUUUUGCUAUAUCCCAUUUGAAUUAUUUUAAUCAUUCAAUACACAUACUGACGAAAUUCUCUUUACGGUUGUCUUAAAAUUUAGAGAGGCUUUGCUCUUUCUAGUGGAUCCUACCAUAGUAUUAAAUAUGAAAGACACGAAUCCCACCAGUAUGUCUAUGUUACCAAUCAAUGAGAAGAUCAUUUGCACUAUUUUUUUAAAGAAGAGACCAUAUUGCAUCUGUCUCUCAGAAAUGCCAAAUACCAUUUCGUAAGGAGACAUUAUUUCUAAUUAUGUGUUCAUCUUGGGCCACUGUUUUUUUGUGACCUUUAUUUGAACUGACACAUCAGUGAAAAGAGCAGCCAGCCACUGAAGAAAGAGUGGAUAAUUCUCUCUGCCUGCCUGCUUUAGUGAGGACACGUUUACCAGGUGCCUCAUGAGAGAUUCGAGAUAUGUGAUUAUUAAUUAAUGUUUUUGGUUCAUUUCCCCUCAGGUUUUUAUAAGUGAAAAUAGAAGUGCUUCUCCCAGGUUUACCAAAUUAGAAUCAGAACUUCAGCUCUGAAUGCUGGGAGAAAGAAAACCCCAUUCUGUCAUCACUGAAGAUGUGAUUGCUGUGCGAAGAGCCCUGUAAUCCAGGAACAACUUGUGAACGUGGGAGAGGAAACGACCACUCAGCCAUGCAUGCUGUACUUAUAUGACAUUUCUUCAAGAUGUGAAAGAUAUUAAGAAGAACUAUCUGCUGAAUAAAAAGAAAUAAAUUGAAAACAAAGCUCUUACAUUGUAUGGAAUGCAGUGAAGCUGCAUAGACCACCCUUUUCAAGGAGUGGGGAGGAUUAGGAGGCAGCGCUUCUACAGCACCCAACCUGUUCUGCAUGCUGGGAUUUAAAUAUUCUGGUAAGAAAAAGGGGGAAAAAAUAAAUCUGCAAGAUGUUGUGGGUUAGGCUGUCCCUGUUCUGAUUACAGUACCGUGGCUUAGACUUUUUCAUGUUGAUCUGCCUUCUCUUCAUCCCUUGUCUGGAGGACUCACAGUGGGAGGGGGGAUUUCAGACAAAUGCUGUCCUUAUGCUACAGUCCUCAGUGGUUUUUGGAUAACAUCUAAAGGAGGACCUUGCUGACAUGUUAACUUGAUGGAAACCCUGAGACGAGUUUCCCAGGCAACAAGGAAAUGGUUGCACUGAUUUCCACUCACUAAACGCAAACCAGCUAUUUAACGGAUGACUAAAAUGGAACAAAUAUUUUAAAUUCUUAAAUACCACUGAGAAGAAACUAAUUAUGUAAAGUAAAAAGGCAAAUUAGCAUAAAAUUUAGAAAAGAAGAUAUUUACAUUUUAUAUCAGAAACAUAGUCUCAGGCCAACAUAUAGGGCUGUGCCUAAAAGUGAUCACAAGUCAGGACUUCCGCUGCAGGGGAAGCUGAAGAGCUUGAAAUUCUGUUUUAGCACAAUUAACAGAUUUUUUUUUCUAUUUCUGCGUUGGCAGGAAAAUACCAGAGACACUCAACUCAUUUUGUCUUGAAAACUGUGAAGGAAGAUGAUAGUUGUAGGUACCAGGAAUGGGCUCUCAUUGAAAUACAGUCCCAGCGUUUCUCAGCUGAGAGUUUCCUGCUCAUUCUGUGCAGUCUGUGGGAACCAGGGCACAGGGGCAAUGUAAAGUUGGAGCUGCAGAUGCCAGGGCCUGCAGCUGCCUCUGCUCAGGGUCAGCCCAUAGCACACGGCUGCCUCAGGGCCCCCAGGGGCCCAGGAAGCCCCAGGUGCAAAUGUGUCUGCGUUGCACAGCUCGGAUUCUGGGCACACAGAGAAGCCUGUGGUCCUGAAGCUCUGCAGGUGAACUGGUGGGAAGACUGAGUUUGGACUGCAGUUCAUCCAAGGUUCAUCAAACCAGGUACAUUUUUACAAAGUGGAUUGAUUUUGAAAGAUAAACCACUCUGGACUAAAAAAAGAAAAACAAGAUAAAGAAAUUGUUGGAGAGCUCUCAGCUGGGUCCUUGCCUGUGGUCUUAUUUGCUGGAAACAGAGGAGGCCAAAAGAGUUCAGAACACCAACACAUCCAUGGAUUAACAUCAAGAUGUUUCAACCAAUCUCCAGAGGCCUGCUGGUGUCACCAUCUGAGCCAUCUACACAGCUUAUUCACUCCUUCCAGAGCACAGUGCUGCACUGCCCCAUGCCCACAACAUGGCAGCAGUGUCUGCCUUGCGCCCACAACAUGGCAGCAGCUGUUGCUCCAUGCCCACAACAUGACAAUUAUGGUUGCUCCGCACUCACAACAUGGUGGCAGUGGUUGCCCCAAGCCCACAGCAUGGCAGCUGCAGCUUCCCUGUGCCCACAACAUGGCGGCUGCAGUUUCCCUGUGCCCACAACAUGGCGGCAAUGGCUGCCCCACACCCACAACAUGGCGGCAGUAGCUACCCUGCUCCCCCCUGGCUCGAGCUGACUGCUGAUCAGAAACACUGGAAGAUAGCCAUGCUGUCAACGCAGCCAUCACAGAAGCUCUCUCCUCCCGCAGAUGACAGGUUGGAUGACUGCAUUUCUUCAAGGCCUGAGUGCACCUGGGCUCGCAGCUCAUUUUGAGGCAUGGCACUGACUGCUGAGUGCUCCUGAACAGCCUCUUUCAGAACAGAGCUCUCUCGGAUUUCAAGUAGACAAUGUGCUGGAUGGGUUGCCACAUGCCAACAUCUGACAGUACAGGGAAUUUGGAAGAGAAGCUGGGGUUAUACUGUAGUGAUGGAGUCAAUGGACUAUUGGUAAUUUUUAGAGUGAAAAAAAGUGGGAGGAAAACUAGCUCACAAAAAGCAAUAGUUGGCAAUUAAUGAAAACCAGCUUUGCUCUUUGAAGACUUCACAGAUGCAGGGAUGGGACAAAUGCUUUUUGGUCGAGGUUCGGCAGGUUCAAGGGGGUCACAUAGUUCACAGCACAGCAUUGGCCCGAGCUGCCGGGUGCGAGUCGACAGCUUUGAUCUCCUGUGCUCCUCCCAGUUGGCUGCUGCUGUGUCAGAAAUGCCUCUGUUGUUCGUGGGGAUGGGAACGUGAUAAAUAAUUUCAGUGCACACUGAAUGCAAAGCAUCAGUGCUUUCCUGGCUCCAGAAACGGCUGCAUGGUAAAUCUUUUCCUGUAGCCAACCUCAUUCCGAGACAUCAUACUCCUCCUAGCUCUUGCUUCCCAUAUACCAGAUGAAGAAAUAAGCAGGAACAAGCCCAGUGACCUCAGUCAAGCUGUGUUAAAUCUUUUGCAGCCACAAAACAUUUCCUCUGGCUGCCUGAACUGUAAGCAGACACCUGUGAGUUAUGAUUCUUUGUGGCUCAACCGAAGGAUAGACAACGAGACCACUACUGCCACUUGGGAAAACCCAUUGAACAUUUACGGGAAUGCAGAAAACAUUCCUACAGUAACAUGGGUGGGAAGAGAGCUGUGCCUUUGAAUCUCACCCCCAGCAGGAGCUUCUCAGCCCAGCAGGAGCAUGGGGAUUUCUGACACCAGGAGCAGAUGCAAAUGGCUGUAGGGCUUUACAUCCCCACUGCAGUAUGAUUUUUGCCUGUGGAAAGCAGGCCUAUAGCAUGGCUGUCUGUGUCUCCAUGCCAUGUUCCUGCUUAACAAAUCUCCCAGUUCUUAGCACCCAAGUGAAAAGUAAAUGGGGGAGCAUGAGUUUGGGUGAUAUGACACAGUAUGUGUUGCCUAUACAAAGCAUCCUCAUCUGUGAAGCCAGCAGGAUCUUGGGUACCUGCAAACUAUUAAUUUCCUGUGUAAGGACAGCAUGAAGCAUGAAGGGAGAAACCCAACGUUUUUGAAAUCCAGUUCUAGGUUUAUUUACACUUGGCUGAAAUUUCUUUCUGUUGCACAACAGCACAGUGAGCUGUGCUGGUAGAGAUGGGAUAAAGAUGGAGCAAUUUUUUAUUUAGCUGUACAGGAGCAGAAUAAACUACAUAUACUUUCCCCUCACAUGUGGAUUUAUGUGAAAUAUUGACACAAUUAUGUCCAUCUAUCGAGGUGACAGCAGCUUUUUUUUGGAUACUGUUCUAAAAUACAACUGUUUACUGAUUUGUCAUCUUUUCUCUUAGAACAAAGGAGGGAUGAUCUUGUUUUUUCACCUCUUGGAUCUAUUUAAGUAAUCUCAUCCCCUCAUUGGUGAAUACAAUGAGGUGUGAUUUUCAUAUAUUUAUACAUGUAUACAUACAGCUAGCAGAGUGGCCC